Chlorocebus sabaeus (green monkey) is the source of this 942-nucleotide non-coding RNA. The record is from RefSeq and is a predicted model, not a curated record. Lineage: Eukaryota; Metazoa; Chordata; Mammalia; Primates; Cercopithecidae.
CGUAGGCCAGAGCAGCUGGGCUGAAUAAAACAGAGCCGGCGCUCUCCCUUCCCAAAGGCCUACAUUGCCCACCGGUCCGGGUUCGGAGCUCAGAACGAGAGAAGGAGCGGUUGUUGCCGGCACGGAGGAGUGCUCUCCUGGACGGCCGUGCGGGACAGAGCAGUGGUGGCCACAAAACAAGAGAAGAAUCCUGAGAAGAUGUUGCUGAUCCCAAAGGCAAUGAAUUCCUAAGGGAGAGACUGGAUGACAACGAUCCUACAAAUUGAAUCUUUGCAAGACCUUCGCUGAAUAUUUCAGAAAGUACAUUAAGAACAAAAACUCCCAUGCCCACCCUGCCUGGUGGUCCAGUUUAAUUUUUACGGUGAUAGGUACUUGAGGUCCUUGUACGACAUCAGGAGUUUGGACUCUAUACCAUCCGAGAGCGGUGCUCUCGAUAAUUUUUAAAGUUGACAAGAAAUAGCAUCUGAUCAUUUGCUAAGCUUUUUCACUGCCUAGUGAAUGGAAUGUCUGCAGCUCUCAUAUAAGUGUUUUUCUGUGGCUGAAUAUUCGCUAUGAAGCAUAUUACGACUAGCAGUGCUGUUAUUCUGCUUGAUUACUAACCAUUUAACUGCUGUCAUUGCUAUACUGUAUCUCCAGAAACGUAUAGAUACAGAACUUGCAAAUUUGCAAGCAGUGUGAAAUCAGCUUACCUGGCAAUGUCUCACAUACCUACAAAAACUGCCUGUAUAUAUUAACUGCACAGUGAACCACCUCAAUUUAAAGUGGUCACAACUAUUAUUAAUGUUUGUUGCACUACUUUCUCACAUUAUAACUGCCAUUAAAAAUAAUUGCCAAGAGGUACUGGGUUACAUGAAGAAUUCUCUUUCUGACCUAAUAUGUUCACUUUGAAUGUUAUUUAUGACCUGACUGAAUUAGCUCUUUUAAAAUUAGUGUUAUUUCAAC